AUGGUGGCUGCGAGGCCAGACGGCGGGAGACGUAGCCGACGACAGCAAGCUCGACGGCGGCGGAGACGUCUUCUGUACUGCGAGCUCGACGACGGCGGUGGGGUCUUAUUGGCAGAUGCCAUGAUCGAUUUUUUCGUAAAGCUACUGGAGUUGCCAGCAAUGCAUGCAAAGCGGCAAGAGUUGGCUGCUCAGUUUUUCUUGUACUGCCAAGAUGGAAGAAAUUGGAGCUCGGGUUCUUCUUCUCACCGGCAGAAGCACAAGCAGGGGAGCUCCGGGUGGCAGCACGAGCAGGCCCGCCGGGGAAGAGCAGCAACUUGCAGCAGAAGAAGCUCGAGGUUGAGGAUGAGCUUGAGUUCCAGGCCCGCCUGGAGCUCCUGGUCCAGGCGCUCGAGACCCAGGCGCGCGCAGGUCCUGUGCGGCGCCGGCGCAGGCCCUGGGCGGCGCGAGGGAUAG
Molecule: ribosomal RNA, 453 nt
Filed under: Triticum aestivum (bread wheat)
Lineage: Eukaryota; Viridiplantae; Streptophyta; Magnoliopsida; Poales; Poaceae
Description: partial small subunit ribosomal RNA
Source: RNAcentral